UCAAAUAUUCAUUCCAUCUUACUAAUUGCCUUUCCUUUUGCAUUAAAAUUUCUCCAUUCUCAUCCUUUAUUGCCCCAAUUUUCACCCUUCUUUCUUUCCUGAGAUUAAAUUACUGAAUUACUAGGACGAUGAUAUAGCGCGAACAAGAAAACAAUGACAGAUAGCCUGACAAGAAAAUGCACCGGUGCCUAUUUUGGCCCAUUACUCAAUAUAAUGUACACGGAAUAUUGUAUAACAAAUACAAGAAUAACAAAACGGAAUUUGUCGGAUUGACAAGGAACGCUUCAAAGUCACAUUUGCUGGGAAAUACAAUAGUGAAAAGGAUGAACUGAUCAGCAAUUGACACGCAUGUCACCAUGCUCACCUCCAACUGCGAUGCAACAGUCUCAACAUAGUGGCGGGCUCGUCACCGAGUGACUUUUCUUGUCACAACAUCAAUUUUAUUGGUCGUCAAGUUUUUGUCACAAUGUGAAUUUAUAUUACAUCGUCAUCCACGACAUAUUUCCCAGUGGAAUCUUUAUGCUUAUUUCCUAUGCUUAAGAUUUAAUAUUUUCUUUUAAAUUAAUAAAUCAUUAUGAAAUGGAGUCUUAGAAAUUCUUUGAUAUCCAAGUAAAUUUUUCAAGGAAGUUCGCUAAACUUUAUAAACAGAAAACUAUAUCAAAUUUAAUAACUGUAUCUAUAAAUUGACGUCAUUCACGACAACAAUUAUGCAACGAGCUUUUUCGGUAAUUGUUAACGAAUCAACAAUUCAAAUUCCAUUGUUCUUUGUUUGAAUCAAGACGCCAUUUUCGUCUUUCUGGCAUUUUCAAAGAAAUAACGUAAGAAAAAGACGAGAAAUUGCAGAAUGAUGGAUGGAAGUGGAAAAGACAGUGUUUUAGUAUAAGAAACAGAUCAUUCAAAGAACAAUGGACUUUUAAUUGUUUAUUCGUAUAUACGUGAUAUGCAUAUAGGAAUAUACAUUAAGUAAAUAUCUGGAUUGGAAAUGCCUUUUAUCAUAACUUCAUAGAAAUAUUUGACUUAAUGACAU
Centruroides sculpturatus (bark scorpion) is the source of this 1027-nucleotide long non-coding RNA. RefSeq lists it as uncharacterized. Lineage: Eukaryota; Metazoa; Arthropoda; Arachnida; Scorpiones; Buthidae. The transcript is spliced from 2 exons. The record is from RefSeq and is a predicted model, not a curated record.